Molecule: long non-coding RNA, 2455 nt
Organism: Herpailurus yagouaroundi (jaguarundi)
Lineage: Eukaryota; Metazoa; Chordata; Mammalia; Carnivora; Felidae
Exons: 2
Source: RefSeq, a predicted model, not a curated record
GCUUUUUAAAAAGUGAUUGUAUGAGUCAGAUUCCCAGUAGGAAAAGAUGGCACUUUCAUAUUGGGAUCAUUUAGGAAGAAAUUUAUAUGUAGAGGGAUUGAUUACAAAGUUGUAGACAGGGUAUCCUGAACCAUGAAAAGAAAGGGAAGAAACCCAGGGUCAGUAGCUGUAGAGCUGUUUCCACCUGUAGGCCUGGAGAGGACGCAGAGGAAAGUCCCAUACAGCAAGCUGCUUGGAGAGGGGCAGGAACUUUCAGGCAAAAGAAGAGGCAGCCUCAGGUGACUGUAGUGGUGACAGCCAGAGGAAAAAUACCCUGCCCUUGUUCUCCUUUCCCAUUACCAUAUGUCUGAUCUGCUGGGGCUUCUCAUUGACCAAACCCAUCUGAAUGCUGGUGGGCAAGGAAGUCUGUUGAUACAACCCACUCAAGUCAACCUCCAAGGCAGAGAGCCGGUUGAAUUUGGAGGGCCAAACUAAGAUAUCAGGCAAAGUAAUUGCAAAAAUUCACUAGAGACACACUAGCGAUCACAUUUGAGCCUCAUGGGAUUAAGCAACAUACAUCAUGUAACAUACAAUCGCGACACGUCGUCAGUCAGCUGAGACUAGAACUCCAUCUCUGCAUCCACUAUGCUUCAUAAGUAUCCCAUACUUACCUCUUACAGCAUAUGUACAGGUCUUGUGUGUGAAAUUACACCAGUUUGUAUUGUUAUCUUACCAAAAUUAAUAAUAUUGGGAAUUUAUUAGCUGGGGAUUGGGGUUUGCCCACAUUAGGAAUGUUUUGGAAUAGUAUUUCAUCUCACAAAACUUAUUUCCGUCCAUACUAUAACUUCCUGAAAAUUACUUUCAGUGACCAAACAUGUUAUAGAAAAUUGCUAUUUUUUGUGAUUUUUAAGUCCUACAGAUGUGGGGUACAGUGAAAAGAGGAAUUAUAAUAACCCUCUGACUAUAGGAGUCUUUGCUGAAGUGGCUUAAAAUUUGGAACUUAUUUGGUUAAAAUUAAAAGCAGUAAAACUCUUAAUAUAUUAAGAAUUUCCAUUCCCAAGAUGAAUUCUACCCUUCGUUGUUAAAAUAUGGUUACUGUUAACAUGUUCAGCUGUUUUCUUACCUUAUUCUUUUCACUGUUCUAUUAAUACCAUCUGGUCAUAUUAUACCAAUUAAUUUCCCACUUGUUGAAUGCACUUGUGUUCUAUCAGGAGUAAGGGUUGCAGAUUAUGAAGCAUGUCUUCAAACUCUGCUCACAUUCUGGAAACACUUGAUCACAAUGCUCACUCUGAAAUCAAAGAUCUUGCUCAUGAACAACAAUUUUUGUGCCACGUCUGACAUAAAUGGUCUCCGUGCAUUCUAGAUCUUCCCUCCUUUCUCAUAGAACUUGCAUGGUUAGCAAUUAUGAACAAACUCUUAAAUCAAAACAGUUAUAUUUAUGUAGCUUACUCCUCAGGUCUUUUAUAUCACUAUAUCAAGGAGUAGAAAUGGUCAAUGUCAGCUGAGUUUUUCUGCUGCAUCUGUGAUGAUAAUAUUUUAUUGCAAAUAUUGCAUGUACCCAACCUACUCCACAAAGAAAUAUAUUCCCUUGAUUUUCUACUAGUGAGAGGCUCUUGUUAGGUUUGAAUGCCUGUUGCAUAUAAAAGGUCCUAGUACCAAAAAAAAAAAAAAAAAAAAAAAAAAAAGACCAUUUCAAUAUAAAUGCAACAUUUUCUCUUUAUUAGAAAACAAUCAACUAUAAUUAGUGAAAGACUAUUCUAGCUUUAUAAAUACUUUUAGUGAACCUUUAAACAUUUCUGUUCAUCCUUUCCUUUUUACCAGGCAGUGUGACAGCACGUGCCAUUUGUUGUCCAAAUAUAGUAAAGAAUUCAGCUAUUUCAUAUAGGUAUAGUGUUUGCUUUUAGAAAAUUAAUUUAAGAAUUUUGAAGCAUAAUACAACCAUCUUGCUAAUAGAGCUGGUAAUUUUUAAUGAUUCCAUAAUAUUUCACCUAGUAUUGAAUGUAUUUUGCUUAAUUAUCUGCUAUUGAGUAUAAAGUUGCUCACCACUACAAAUAGCACAACAAUGAAAAACAUCCUGCGCAUAGCUUUUCCUAUUCUUUGAAUUUUUUCCCAGAAGUAAGUUGACCGAAUGAAAGUGUGUGAACAGUUUUGUUACUUAAUGAUACAUAUUGUUAAUUAUUUUCUAAAAGGGCUUUAACUAAUUUAUGUUGCCAUCAGCAAUGUUCAGGAGCCCCUGCUUCACUCCCACCUUCCCAGGCAUUAGUUUGUCACCUUUUUUUUUUUUUUUUUUUUUUGGUAAUUUUUACAGGCUAAUAGGGACAACUUGUUUCAUUUUGUUACAAAACUUGUUCAUUUGUCAGACUUGUUCAUUUGCUAUUUUCUCAUAACAUGGUUGGAUAUUUGUAUUUAUUUCUCUUAAUACCUGCUUCUUGUCAAUCUGAAUGAGUUCUUUAAUAUAAUAAAUAUGUUAAUCUUA